AAGCGUUUGCGGCCAGACUUGAUCGCGGUUGCUCAGCCGGUCUUUGCCCGGUGCACUCUUCCGCGUCAGGCCAGCAUCAGUUCGGACGGUCGGAUAAAGGCUUUGGGAACGUAGCUCCUCGGAGUGUUAUAGCCCUUUGCACAAUACGGCCCGUUCGGACUGAGGACAGCGUUCGCUAGGAUGCUGGCGUAAUGGCAGCCAACGG
This 205-nucleotide ribosomal RNA is filed under the name Asterina sp. (in: ascomycete fungi). RNAcentral's name for it is "Asterina sp. (in: Fungi) partial large subunit ribosomal RNA". The record is from RNAcentral. Lineage: Eukaryota; Fungi; Ascomycota; Dothideomycetes; Asterinales; Asterinaceae.